GACGAACGCUGGCGGCGUGCUUAACACAUGCAAGUGGAGCGACGAACCAGGGCUUGCCCUGGGGCAGAGCCGCGAACGGGUGAGUAACACGUGGGUAACCUACCCCGAUGACCGGGACAACCCGAGGAAACUCGGGCUAAUACCGGAUGUUCUCCAUUCUCGUAAGGGAACCGAGCAAAGAUAGCUUCGGCCUUCGCAUCGGGACGGGCCCGCGGCCCAUUAGCUUGUUGGUGGGGUAACGGCCUACCAAGGCGACGAUGGGUAGCUGGUCUGAGAGGACGAUCAGCCACACUGGGACUGAGACACGGCCCAGACUCCUACGGGAGGCAGCAGUGGGGAAUCUUGCGCAAUGCGCGAAAGCGUGACGCAGCAACGCCGCGUGGGGGAAGAAGGCCUUCGGGUUGUAAACCCCUUUCAGGAGGGACGAAGGUGCGGCGGCGAAUAGCCGUCCGUACUGACGGUACCUCCACAAGAAGCCCCGGCUAACUACGUGCCAGCAGCCGCAGUAAAAC
RNAcentral lists this ribosomal RNA (512 nucleotides) under uncultured bacterium. RNAcentral describes it as "bacterial SSU rRNA". It matches the Rfam family "Bacterial small subunit ribosomal RNA", at positions 28 to 526 of the family's 1533-position model. The record is from RNAcentral.